AUCCUUUGUAGCUUCGAAUACUGCUGUUCCACAUAGAGACCAAAAUUUUAUUGAAAACAGGAUAGCCAAGAAACCAUUUCAGGAUAUACUGAAAUUAUAUUGAUUGGGAAAUUUAGAACCUGAAUUUUUCCUGCUGAAUAAAGGCAUGCCAUCUACCACAACCAGGAAGACUGCUUUUUACGUUCCAUAUGACUUAUGAAUUGUCGCUUCUACUGGAUUCGAAAAAAUUAUUUUAAGAUGACUUGUAGUAAUAGAAAUUCAAGAUCAGUUACAGAGCAUUCAACUUUCACAUGAAAUACGGAGGAAUUCAAGCACGUGUAUUCAGAGAACAUUCUGUGUACAUAGGGAGUCGAAGUAAUCCGGAAUCGGAGAAUGGAAUCGGCAUGUGACAUCCAUGUGUUCAAUUGGGAACCUCUUCAGGAGUUGAAUCAGUUAGUACAAAAAAAUGAUCCAGAUACUCUUCAGAUGUCUGCUGACAUGACUUAACCGAAAUUAGGACAGCGAAAUAAGACUCAUCAAGCUCAUUUUGGGGUUAUAUUUUCCAAUUAUGGAUGGAGA
Long non-coding RNA from Argiope bruennichi, 558 nucleotides. RefSeq lists it as uncharacterized. The transcript is spliced from 4 exons. Lineage: Eukaryota; Metazoa; Arthropoda; Arachnida; Araneae; Araneidae. The record is from RefSeq and is a predicted model, not a curated record.